CUUCAAUCUUCACUACAGCUCGAGGAAUCUUUAGUUGCUGCAUGUGGGGUCUAGUUCCCUGAUCAGGAAUCAAACUGGCCCCCCUGCACUGAAAGCUUGGAGUCUUAGCCACUGGACCAUUAGGGAAGUCCCAGAUCCUUUUUUCAAAGGGAGCUUAUAAUCCCUGGCUUGCAAGAUUGGAGGACCAAAAUAACCUGAGAGAACAAAGUGAAGUGAAAAAGUCACUCAGUCGUGUCUGACUCUUUGCGACCCCAUGGACUACACAGUCCAUGGAAUUCUCCAGGCCAGAAUACUGGAGUCGGUGGCCUUUCCCUUCUCCAGGGGAUCUUCCCAACCCAGGGAUUGAAGCCAGGUGUCCCGCAUUGCAGACGGAUUCUUUACCAGCUGAGCCACCAGGGAAGCCCCCUGAGAGAACAAGGCACGGUCUUAAAAGUCACAGAGUGCUUUACCAGUUGGUGGGGUGUUUGGGAAGUAUUUUACUUUUCUGAUCUUCACUGCUACAGGUUUAAAAAAGGAGGUGGCCAGGCCUUCCCUAUAGCUCAAGGCAGGCCUUUGGUAGCUCAGACUGUCUAGCUUUGGCUCAUCUCCCUUCCCCAUGUAUGAAGUAGACACCUCAGUCUACUUCCUGUGGCCAGAGCUCUCUGAGAAGAUUCUAGGAUGCCGGAUCAUCACUCCUCAAGGGAGAAGAAAACCACCCCCUUGGAGGACUGUCUGUUGUCACACCCAGUAAGUGUAGAGCUGGGACUGUGUGAAGCCGGGCUGUGGGCCCCAGCCCUGCAGCAGCUACUCCACUGUCCAGGACCUGCCCUUGGGCCCCCCAGGGAGCACCAGGGUAGGGCUGGCAUUCCAGCCAGCCCCAGCUCUCAGCGCCCAUCGUGCCCAGCCCAGCGUGUUUACUCCACCCACUGGGGCCUGCUGCUGCUUAACCUACAAAUCCCUGUCCCCCCACCCCACCCCCAUGUCUCCUCUCUCCUCUCCGUCUCUGCGGAAUCUCCAAGCAUGGCCCAUCUGCUGUGUCGGGCACUGCUUCACCAUCUACUUUCUUUAAUCUUCCACAACGCUUGAGUAUUGGUGUGAAGGCUCAGAGAGGUUCGGAAACGUGCCCAAGAUCACACAGUCUGUGUGCAAGUGGUGGAACCCAGAUUCCAGUGUCUCCGUCUGUUUGAUUCCCAAGGCCAUUCUCCCUCUCUCUCCCUCUGCUCCCCUCCCUUGCAGAGGCUGGAGCUCCACAUCUGGCUCCCAAAUGACCCCCUGAGGAGGGAAGGCAAAGGCCUGGGGACCCAGUUUGCAGGGAAGCAGGGAGGGGAGGGGUGGGCAGAGAGACAGAACUGGCCUUCUUCCCUCCAAGUCGGCUCAGAGGCCCUGUCUAGGGUGCCCAGGCGCUGAGCUGCCCUCUUCUGUCCUCCUAGCUUCUUUUGGGAGGCAAUGUGCUUCUCAUUAGGCUGGUGUUGGGUUUUGCAAACCGCACGGUCUAAUUGUGAAGCGUUGGGGGUGUGAGUAAGUGUGCAUCUCGUGUGAGAAGAGCAGUCAGGCCUCUCCCACCUCUUGCAGAGGGGGGCUCCCAAAGCACUGGACACAGCUGUGCCCCAGCCCUCACGGAGUGCCAGCCCAGAGGGGCACGGAAGGGGCUUCCUAAGAGAAAGAAAACCUUUUGAGCAGGGGCCAAUGGGGGCGACACCAGGCCCACAGUCUUCAUCUGCAUCCACCGGGGGAUGGAAGAGACAACCAGCUCCAGGCUCCUCUAGUUACCUCCCCUCUGAUUAGGGCUCCCCAAGGUUAGGGCUGGGCGCCCUCAGGACAGUCUUCCAGCCCUGGGGCUCCCUCCUCAGCCUGUCCCCACACCCAGCAGGAGGGAAGCAAAGGGGCUGCACCCCCGCCCUGUUCCGCAAUGCUGGGUUC
This is a long non-coding RNA of Bos taurus (domestic cattle), 1899 nucleotides long. NCBI's taxonomy places the organism in Eukaryota, Metazoa, Chordata, Mammalia, Artiodactyla, Bovidae. The record is from Ensembl.